Long non-coding RNA from Etheostoma cragini (Arkansas darter), 804 nucleotides. RefSeq lists it as uncharacterized. Lineage: Eukaryota; Metazoa; Chordata; Actinopteri; Perciformes; Percidae. The transcript is spliced from 2 exons. The record is from RefSeq and is a predicted model, not a curated record.
UGAAUUAUGGAUAAUGAUAUUACCUGUUUGCAGCAUUGCAGCAAUACAGGUUUUAUGGGUCUCUGCUUCAAUAAAAGUGAUUCAGCUUAGGCUAAGGGCUAAUAGAAAAUUGGAUUAAAGGUGCUGACUAAACAACUCCUUGUCCUAAGGUUAACCCUGCUCACCUGUAGCACAGCUUGUAACUGCUGGUGGGAAUUUGGGAAUUGGGUCAUAAAGUUGAUCAACUGGGGCAUAUGAAGAACACCGUAUGAAGCUUGAAGGAUUGUGAAGAGAAUGCACUAUAUAAACUAAAUCUUCUUGUUUGACAAGGCACUGUGUAUCUGAAGGAGAAGUUGUUGAGCUAAGCUACUCGAUGUGCCUUAAAGAAAACAGCGCCGACGGGACAACAUCAGGUUAUAGUGCCUCGAGGUCUCAGGCUGUCUUUUAUUUAUGCAUGUUUCUGUGUUGUUUUCCUGCUUUCAUGCAGCCUCUACAAAAUGCUGAAACGAAACUAACAUGAACUCGUGGUGGACAUAUCAUCCACACUGUGGACUUAUGGAGGAAGGACAAAGAGAGCAAGCAGCAAUGGAGUCAGCCGAUGAGAGUGCAUGUUGGGGGAUUUUUCCAACUAAAGGCAGAAGAGGGCAAACCCCCACCCGUGAGCCUACAUCCUCAUCCAUACCCGAUUCAAUUUACACUGAUCUGCAGAGAGGUGCACUUAUCAUUGAGAGCAGGGGGGAGGUGGUGUGGGGGGUGAGCCAGCACAUUGUCUCUGUAUGAACCAAGGGCAUUGGAAAAUAAAAGCGGACUGCGGUGAGAUAAUAA